RNAcentral lists this ribosomal RNA (128 nucleotides) under Pantanalinema sp. GBBB05. Its description in RNAcentral is "partial 16S ribosomal RNA". It matches the Rfam family "Bacterial small subunit ribosomal RNA", at positions 1 to 142 of the family's 1533-position model. Lineage: Bacteria; Bacillati; Cyanobacteriota; Cyanophyceae; Leptolyngbyales; Leptolyngbyaceae. The record is from RNAcentral.
UAUGGAGAGUUUGAUCCUGGCUCAGGAUGAACGCUGGCGGUAUGCUUAACACAUGCAAGUCGAACGGUGUCUUCGGACAUAGUGGCGGACGGGUGAGUAACGCGUGAGAAUCUGCCUUCAGGAUGGGG